RNAcentral lists this ribosomal RNA (478 nucleotides) under uncultured bacterium. RNAcentral describes it as "partial 16S ribosomal RNA". It matches the Rfam family "Bacterial small subunit ribosomal RNA", at positions 28 to 523 of the family's 1533-position model. The record is from RNAcentral.
GACGAACGCUGGCGGCGUGCUUAACACAUGCAAGUCGAACGGUAAGGCCCUUCGGGGUACACGAGUGGCGAACGGGUGAGUAACACGUGGGUGAUCUGCCCUGCACUUCGGGAUAAGCCUGGGAAACUGGGUCUAAUACCGGAUAGGACCAUGCGCCUCACGGUGUGGGGUGGAAAGCUUUUGCGGUGUGGGAUGGGCCCGCGGCCUAUCAGCUUGGUGGUGGGGUAAUGGCCUACCAAGGCGACGACGGGUAGCCGGCCUGAGAGGGUGACCGGCCACACUGGGACGGAGAUACGGCCCAGACUCCUACGGGAGGCAGCAGUGGGGAAUAUUGCACAAUGGGCGCAAGCCUGAUGCAGCGACGCCGCGUGAGGGAUGACGGCCUUCGGGUUGUAAACCUCUUUCAGUAGGGACGAAGCGCAAGUGACGGUACCUACAGAAGAAGGACCGGCCAACUACGUGCCAGCCGCCGCAGUAA